Molecule: ribosomal RNA, 470 nt
Filed under: uncultured bacterium
Lineage: Bacteria
Description: bacterial SSU rRNA
Rfam family: Bacterial small subunit ribosomal RNA
Source: RNAcentral
AGAGUUUGAUCAUGGCUCAGGAUGAACGCUGGCGGCGUGCUUAACACAUGCAAGUCGAGCGAAGCACUUUGGCGGAUUUCUUCGGAUUGAAGCCUUGGUGACUGAGCGGCGGACGGGUGAGUAACGCGUGGGUAACCUGCCUCAUACAGGGGGAUAACAGUUGGAAACGACUGCUAAUACCGCAUAAGCGCACAGUACCGCAUGGUACGGUGUGAAAAACUCCGGUGGUAUGAGAUGGACCCGCGUCUGAUUAGGUAGUUGGUGGGGUAACGGCCUACCAAGCCGACGAUCAGUAGCCGACCUGAGAGGGUGACCGGCCACAUUGGGACUGAGACACGGCCCAAACUCCUACGGGAGGCAGCAGUGGGGAAUAUUGCACAAUGGGGGAAACCCUGAUGCAGCGACGCCGCGUGAGCGAUGAAGUAUUUCGGUGUGUAAAGCUCUAUCCGCAGGGAAGAAAUUGACGGUAC